This 360-nucleotide RNase P RNA is filed under the name Bacteroides sp. RNAcentral describes it as "RNase P RNA component class A". It matches the Rfam family "Bacterial RNase P class A". Rfam says of the family: Ribonuclease P (RNase P) is a ubiquitous endoribonuclease, found in archaea, bacteria and eukarya as well as chloroplasts and mitochondria. Its best characterised activity is the generation of mature 5'-ends of tRNAs by cleaving the 5'-leader elements of precursor-tRNAs. The record is from RNAcentral. Lineage: Bacteria; Pseudomonadati; Bacteroidota; Bacteroidia; Bacteroidales; Bacteroidaceae.
ACAGUUGGGUGGUCUGUCGCGACAAACUUGUUUUUGGCGAGGAAAGUCCGGGCAACACAGAGCAUUCUACUUCCUAACAGAAAGCUAUCCGUGAGGGUGGAGUAAUGCAGAAGAAAAUAACCGCCUAUAUUUAUUUAUGGGCAAGGGUGAGAAGGUAAGGUAAGAGCUUACCAGAUAUAUGGCGACAUAUAUGCUGUGCAUCUUAGAAGUUGUAAGGUCAUGUAAACCGACGUUUGAGAAUUGCUCGUUCGAUGUCGGAGGGUAGACCGCUAAAGUGUAAUAGUGAUAUUACAUUCAGAUAAAUGGCAGACACUGCUUGAAAAAGCAGGACAGAACCCGGCUUACAACCUGACUGUUUUU